This 465-nucleotide ribosomal RNA is filed under the name uncultured bacterium. RNAcentral describes it as "partial 16S ribosomal RNA". It matches the Rfam family "Bacterial small subunit ribosomal RNA", at positions 28 to 507 of the family's 1533-position model. The record is from RNAcentral.
GACGAACGCUGGCGGCGUGCUUAACACAUGCAAGUCGAACGGAAAGGCCCUGCUUGCAGGGUACUCGAGUGGCGAACGGGUGAGUAACACGUGGGUGAUCUGCCCUGCACUUCGGGAUAAGCCUGGGAAACUGGGUCUAAUACCGGAUAGGAGCCAUUUUUAGUGUGAUGGUCGGAAAGUUUUUUCGGUGUAGGAUGAGCUCGCGGCCUAUCAGCUUGUUGGUGGGGUAAUGGCCUACCAAGGCGGCGACGGGUAGCCGGCCUGAGAGGGUGGACGGCCACAUUGGGACUGAGAUACGGCCCAGACUCCUACGGGAGGCAGCAGUGGGGAAUAUUGCACAAUGGGCGCAAGCCUGAUGCAGCGACGCCGCGUGGGGGAUGACGGCCUUCGGGCUGUAAACUCCUUUCGCUAGGGACGAAGCUUUUUGUGACGGUACCUAGAUAAGAAGCACCGGCUAACUACGUG